This 5176-nucleotide long non-coding RNA is filed under the name Sus scrofa (pig). Its description in RNAcentral is "lncRNA (ENSSSCG00040019487.1)". The record is from RNAcentral. Lineage: Eukaryota; Metazoa; Chordata; Mammalia; Artiodactyla; Suidae.
AUAUUGUUGCCUCAUUGUUUUAUAAUUGAUAUAUAAGUGACUAUAGAGCAGUAAUACCUAUAUAUUAAUUCCUAUUAGAAUAACUGUAAUGUUAGGCCAGGAGGAUGAUAUCAAUACAACUGAUUCUCCAAAGAUUGAUUGAUGGAGGUAAAGCUAGUGUCUGAGGCUUGCUAGGAGCUAUCCUACUGCUAUUAUUUGUAGUCCAUGAGCUAGAAUUAUAGUUCAUGUGUAAUGCUGAUCAUAGUUGGAAUAUGUUCAUCAAAAUAGUAUGGAAAAUGUAAGGCUAUAGGUGAUUAUUCAGGCUGUAGUGCCUAAAUGACCUCAUGAUGUUUGAGUAAGAAUGGCUGCAAUUACUAGUGCUACGUGGCUUAUGGAGGACUAUAUGUUGAGUGUUUUUAGUCUGAUUGGCAGUGACAAAUGGAGCUCAUUUUGAUUAGUCCUCAUAAAGAUAGUGUAAGGAAAGGAUGUGCCAUUAAAUCCACCAAGGGAUUUAGUAUUUUAAUUACUAAUCAUAGGAAAAUAUGAGAUUAAGAAUUGGCUAUUAUUUGAGUUCAGUAUUGACUUAUUAGAAAAUGUAAUGAACCUAUAAGAUUUUGAUAAAAAUUAGUGCAAUGAGAAGUAGGAAGUGAUCCAAAUGAUGUGUACAAUAGGAAAUAUGAGUCUUGAGUUUAAUCAUCUUUUCUGAUUUCCCCACUGGGUAAUAAACUACUAGUUUUUGGACUCACAUUACUUUAAAUAAUAUAUAGAUGAGUUUCUAUUGUGUCUCAGUAGAUUAAGAACCCAACAUAGUGUCCUUAAGCAUGUGGGCUUGAUCCCUGGCCUUGCUCAGUGGGUUAAGAUCCUGCAUUGCCACAAGAUGUGGUGUAGGUCACAGAUGCAGUUUGAAUCUGUUUUUGCUGUGGCAAUGGUGUAGGCUGACACAUCCAGCUCUGAUUCAACUGUUAGUUUGGGAACUUCCAUAUGCCACAUGUGUGGCCUUAAAAACAAAAUGGAGUUCCCAUUGUGGUGCAUCAGAAAUGAGUCCAAACAGUAUCCAGGAGGAUUCAGGAUCAAUCCCUUGCCUUGCUCAGUGUGUAGUUUGCAAAUGCAGUUUGGAUCCCAAGUUUCUGUGGCUGUGGGUUAGGCAGGCAGCUGUAGCUUUGAUUAGCCUGGGAACAUCCAUAUGCCAUGGGUGAGACCCUAACAAGGAAAAAAAAAGAAAGAAAGAAGUAUAUAGAAUGUGGUAAAUUGUGAAGUAUUGAAAGUUUAAGAAUAUUUGUAAUAAAAUUAUUAUUGUAAUAUAUAGUUUGUGAGGUUAAUAAUUCUUUGGAUGGAUAAAAUGGGGUGGCUCUGAGUAUUAGUGGAGGAAGUUAUUUUGUUAGUGUAAGCAGAGGUGCUGGUAGAUAGAAAAGAAGAUAAAAGUGAAGGCUGGUGUCAUUACCUUGAUUCAGGAGGAUAAAGCUGACCUCUAAGAUGUAGCAUUAACUCAGAUGAUGUAUUUUUUGAUAGUCGUGUUAAUGAUAUUAAUAUAAUGUUUGGAGUAAUGGGUUUUAUCAUUGAAGAAGGUUAAGAUUUUGCACAUAAACCAUACCAUAGGUAUGUCUACUCUAACUGGCAAUGACAAUUCUAGUGUCUCCCCACAGGAUCUGAACACUAACAGGAGAAUGGGUAUGAUGCUAGCUAAUAUAAAGUAGAUGUUUAGCAUCAUUGCAGUUGGUAUGGUGAAUAGUGAUGAUAUUAUGUCGUCUAAGCAUAGUAAACAGAAUAUUAAGUGAGAUUUAUGUAUAGUAGUCCCAGAAAGGGUACUGUAAGUACUAAACAAGAUAUUAAUAUAGACCAAGGACAUUUGAUGAUUAUGAAGUUAAUCCUAAUUCUAUAGCAAAAUAAUUUGUUUUAGUUUAAACUAAUUAUCUUAUACAUUCAUUCUAAUCCUUUUAAAUUCAGUCAUAGGCUUAACUUAUGACCACUAGUAAUGAUAUGAGGGUGUCUGCCAAAAAAAGUUUAGUUUUUAGGUUAUUUUUUUGAGAUGCUUAGGGUGGGGGUUGGAGGAGGGCAGUUUCUAGGUCAAAUAAUGGAAAAGUAAUUAUUUAAGAAUAUAUAAAUGGAGAAAGAUAGGUGUGCUGACUCUAUAGAACCAAAUCCUCAUUUGCAUAGGCUUGAGUUUUCUGUAUAGACAUUUAAUGGAGGAAGUCAAAAAGUGAUAAGCACAAGUUAUGACCCUAGAAGUGUAUUGAUAAAUAAGGUUUAUGACUCUUUCUCCAGGUAAAGCAAAAGUAAUAGAUUAGAGGUCAGUUGUGCUCUUUAACACUAAAAGAAUACAAUCCUCAUCAGUAGCUAGAGACAUCCAGGGUCAAUUAGACUUUAUCUACAGAAUAUCAGUAUCAGGCAGCUGAUUCAAAUCAAAAGUGAUUAGAUAUUUAGUGAAAUUUUAGAUGGUGUAGAAGGCAAACAAUGAGAAAAGUAGAGCCAGUAAUUUUGUGUAGUUGAUGGAAGCCUUUAUCUGUGAGAAAUACUGGACCAUAAACUCCAUCUGAAAGAGUAAAUUUUCAAUAAUGAAUCUUUCUUUUUUUACAUUAUUUUUAUUAUUUAUUAUUUUUAUAUAUUCUUUUUCUCACAUUAUCCUCCAUCAUGUUCCACCACAAGUGACUAGAUACAGUUCCCUGUGCUUUACAGCAGGAUCUCAUUGCUUAUCCACUCCAAAGGCAAGAGUUUGCAUCUAUUAACCACCAACUCCUAGUCCAUCCCACUUCCUCCCUCUCCCCCGUGGCAACCACAAGUCUGUUCUCCAAGUCUUUGUGUUUCUUUUCUGUGGAAAAUUUCCUUUGUGCCAUAUAUUAGAUUCCAGAUACAAUCAAUAUCAUAUGAUCUUUGUCUUUCUCUUUCUGACCUAUUUCACUUAGUGUGAAAAUUUCUAGUUCCAUCCAUGUUGCUGCAAAUGGCAUUAUUUUAUUUUUUUAUGGCUGAGGAGUAUUCCAUUGUGUAUACAUACAUCUUUUUAAUCCAUUCAACUGUCAAUGGAUAUUUAAGUUGUUUCCAUGUCUUGGCUAUUGUAAAUAAUGGUGCAAUGAACAUACAGGUAUAGCUAUCUUUUUCAAUGAAAGUCUUGACUAGAUAUAUACCCAUGAUUGGGAUUGCUGGAUCAUAUGGUAGUUCUAUAUUUAGUUGUAUGAGGUACCUCCAUACUGUUUUCCACAGUGAUCAUACCAAUUUACAUCCCCACCAACAGUGUAGGAAUGUUUCCUUUUCUUCACACCCUCUCAAGCAUUUGAUAUUUUUUGAGGGGCUUAAAUUACCAAAAUAAAUAAAUUAAUUAAUUAUUAUGAAAACUAUAAUGAAUAAAGUUUGUUGCAUUAUUUAUGACUUCCUUCUAUUAAAUGAUAGUGAGCUCAAGUGAUGGAAAUGUCAGAAGCUCAUAGAACUGAAGAUUUAAGAAGAGGUACCUCUGAUCUUCCCAUUGUUAAGAACCCAACAUAUUGGCCAGGGGGAUGCAGGUUCCAUCCCUGGCCUUGCUCAGUGUGUUAAGGAUCCACCCUUGCCACAAGCUCUGGUAUAGGUCACAGAUUUGGCUUAAACUUGAAAUUGCUGUGGCUGUGGUAUAGGCCAGCAGCUGCAACUCUGAUUCGACCCCUAGCCUGGGUACUUCCAUAUGCUGAAGGGGUGGCCCUAAAAAGAAAACAAAAAAAGGUUGUACUUCUCAGGGUUUAGAGGAUGAAUGUCUCCAGUUGGUCAGCAGCCACCUAAAUCAGGUGUUGGGACUAGGCUUGAAUGGUAAAAGGCUCUGAAGAAACUGGUGAAAAAAAAAAAGAUUUCUCUUAUUAUAUAGCAGAUAGGCUAUUCCAUAUCAGAGUCAUUUUUGGACAAUUAAUUCAUGGUGACCUUGAAAUGUACCUUCUCAAAUGAUGUCUCAUUUCAUUGGUAUGUAAUUAAUACAUUGGUUAAUAAGCCUGAGGAAGGAGUUCCUGCUGUGGCACAAUGGGAUCAGUGCCCUCUCUGUGGCACCAGGAUGCAUGUUCAAUCUCAGGCCUGGCACUGUGGGUUAAAGUAUCCAGCUUUGCUGCAGGUAGGUUAUAAAGGCAGCCCUGAUCUUAUCCCUGGCCCAGGAACUCUAUAUGCUAUGGGGUGGCUAAAUAAAAAAAAGUUUUAGGAUAAUAGAAAAGUGGAGUUAAAAUGACAUCAUUUUACCAGACUAGAUGUUAUAAAGUGGGAUGUUAAGCCUCCUUAAGAGGUCAGGGACUGGGGAUUACUAUAGGGUAUGCAUGGGUUUGGUGGGUCAUUAAUUAUUAACCUGGAAAUAAAGACUCACUAGUAGAGUGAGCAAGUGAGCUUGAAUUAUAAAUGCUGUGAUAUCAAGAAUAGCAAGUAAAGUAAGAAUAAUAAGGGUGAUACAAAGCUGUGGUAGGACAAAUGCUUAUUAGGGCUAGGAUUUCCCCUCCAAUUAGGGGAAUUCAUAGGUGGCUGGCAGUGAUCUUAGGUGUUAGUCAAAAGGCUAUGGUUAUUGGUUGAAUAAUGAGACUGAUGGUUUUAAAGUUACUAGUAUAGGAAUUAGUGUUAAGGUGUUCCUUGGAGCAGGAAAGGGGCAAGGAUGCUUUUGUUUUAUGACAGUUACUGUUAUUGCUCAUAGGUGUGUAGAUAUUUCUGGGUUUAUUGAGAGUUGUGUAGUGGGUGCAAAUGAGUGUGAUAAAAGAUCUCAUAGAGGAGUUCCCAUUGUGGUUCAGUGGGUUAAGAUCCUGACACUGUUUCUGUGAGGAUAUGGGUUCAAUCCUUGGCCUCUCACAAUGGGUUAAGUAUCUGGCAUUGCCACAAGUAGGUCACAGAUGCUGCUGUAAUCACUGUUGCUGUGGCUGUAGAAGAGGCUACAGCUACAGCUCCAAUUUGACCCCUGGCCCAGGAACUUCCAUAUGCCACAGGUGCAGCCAUAAAAAGAAAUAAAGGAAAGGAGUUCCCGUCAUGGUGCAGCAGAAACAAAUCUGACUAGGAACCAUGAGGUUGUGGGUUUGAUCCCUGGCCUUGCUCAGUAGGUUAAGGAGCCAGUGUUGCCAUGAGCUGUGGUGUAGGUCACAGAUGUAGCUCAGAUCUGGCAUUGCUAUGACUCUGGCAUAGGCUGGCAGCAACAGCUCUGAUUAGAUCCCUAGCCUGGGAACUUCCAUAUGCCAGGGGGGUGGCCCAAAAAAGGAAAAAAAAAAAAAAAAAAAAAAAA